Molecule: ribosomal RNA, 335 nt
Filed under: uncultured eukaryote
Lineage: Eukaryota
Description: partial 18S ribosomal RNA
Rfam family: Eukaryotic small subunit ribosomal RNA
Source: RNAcentral
CCCUUAGAUGUUCUGGGCCGCACGCGCGCUACACUGAUGCAUUCAACGAGUUUCUUCCUGGUCCGAGAGGAAUGGGUAACCUUUUGAAAGUGCAUCGUGAUAGGGAUAGACUAUUGCAAUUAUUGGUCUUCAACGAGGAAUUCCUAGUAGACGUAGUUCAUCAGACUGCAUCGAUUACGUCCCUGCCCUUUGUACACACCGCCCGUCGCUCCUACCGAUUGAAACAUACGGUGAAAAUCUCGGAGAGGAAUGUUCUUAGUGCAAAGUUCGCUUUGUAUUUCCAUGCUUCAAAGUUAUUUAAAUCUCAUGUUUUAGAGGAAGGAGAAGUCGUAACA